CCUACGGGCGGCAGCAGUGGGGAAUAUUGCACAAUGGGGGAAACCCUGAUGCAGCGACGCCGCGUGAAGGAAGAAGUAUUUCGGUAUGUAAACUUCUAUCAGCAGGGAAGAAAAUGACGGUACCUGACUAAGAAGCCCCGGCUAACUACGUGCCAGCAGCCGCGGUAAUACGUAGGGGGCAAGCGUUAUCCGGAUUUACUGGGUGUAAAGGGGGCGUAGGCGGUUUAGCAAGUCAGAAGUGAAAGCCCGGGGCUCAACUCCGGGACUGCUUUUGAAACUGUUGAACUAGAUUGCAGGAGAGGUAAGUGGAAUUCCUAGUGUAGCGGUGAAAUGCGUAGAUAUUAGGAGGAACACCGGUGGCGAAGGCGGCCUGCUGGACUGCGACUGACGUUGAGGCCCGAAAGCGUGGGGAGCAAACAGGAUUAGAUACCCUUGUAGUC
This 440-nucleotide ribosomal RNA is filed under the name uncultured bacterium. Its description in RNAcentral is "partial 16S ribosomal RNA". It matches the Rfam family "Bacterial small subunit ribosomal RNA", at positions 338 to 795 of the family's 1533-position model. The record is from RNAcentral.